RNAcentral lists this ribosomal RNA (218 nucleotides) under Cohnella lubricantis. RNAcentral's name for it is "Bacterial small subunit ribosomal RNA". It matches the Rfam family "Bacterial small subunit ribosomal RNA", at positions 1 to 211 of the family's 1533-position model. Lineage: Bacteria; Bacillati; Bacillota; Bacilli; Caryophanales; Paenibacillaceae. The record is from Rfam by way of RNAcentral.
UUUAUGGAGAGUUUGAUCCUGGCUCAGGACGAACGCUGGCGGCGUGCCUAAUACAUGCAAGUCGAGCGGAUCUCAUUGGGAGCUUGCUCCUGAUGAGGUUAGCGGCGGACGGGUGAGUAACACGUAGGCAACCUGCCUGCAAGACCGGGAUAACAUUCGGAAACGAAUGCUAAGACCGGAUACGCAGUUUGGCGGCAUCGCUGAACUGGGAAACACGG